RNAcentral lists this ribosomal RNA (474 nucleotides) under uncultured bacterium. RNAcentral's name for it is "bacterial SSU rRNA". It matches the Rfam family "Bacterial small subunit ribosomal RNA", at positions 501 to 975 of the family's 1533-position model. The record is from RNAcentral.
CUACGUGCCAGCAGCCGCGGUAAUACGUAGGGUGCGAGCGUUAAUCGGAAUUACUGGGCGUAAAGAGUGCGCAGGCGGUUUUGCAAGACCGAUGUGAAAUCCCCGGGCUUAACCUGGGAACUGCAUUGGUGACUGCAAGGCUAGAGUGUGUCAGAGGGAGGUGGAACUCCGCAUGUAGCAGUGAAAUGCGUAGAUAUGCGGAAGAACACCGAUGGCGAAGGCAGCCUCCUGGGAUAACACUGACGCUCAUGCACGAAAGCGUGGGGAGCAAACAGGAUUAGAUACCCUGGUAGUCCACGCCCUAAACGAUGUCUACUAGUUGUCGGGGAUUAAUUUCCUUGGUAACGCAGCUAACGCGUGAAGUAGACCGCCUGGGGAGUACGGUCGCAAGAUUAAAACUCAAAGGAAUUGACGGGGACCCGCACAAGCGGUGGAUGAUGUGGAUUAAUUCGAUGCAACGCGAAAAACCUUACC